Molecule: ribosomal RNA, 708 nt
Filed under: Psychrobacter sp. P014
Lineage: Bacteria; Pseudomonadati; Pseudomonadota; Gammaproteobacteria; Moraxellales; Moraxellaceae
Description: bacterial SSU rRNA
Rfam family: Bacterial small subunit ribosomal RNA
Source: RNAcentral
UCUACUAUWAUGGGAUAGCUCGGGAACUCGAAUAAUACCGCAUACGACUACGGAGAAAGGGGCAGUUUACUSUCUCGCUAUUAGAUGAGCCUAAGUCGGAUUAGCUAGAUGGUGGGGUAAAGGCCUACCAUGGCGACGAUCUGUAGCUGGUCUGAGAGGAUGAUCAGCCACACCGGGACUGAGACACGGCCCGGACUCCUACGGGAGGCAGCAGUGGGGAAUAUUGGACAAUGGGGGAAACCCUGAUCCAGCCAUGCCGCGUGUGUGAAGAAGGCCUUUUGGUUGUAAAGCACUUUAAGCAGUGAAGAAGACUCCGUGGUUAAUACCCACGGACGAUGACAUUAGCUGCAGAAUAAGCACCGGCUAACUCUGUGCCAGCAGCCGCGGUAAUACAGAGGGUGCAAGCGUUAAUCGGAAUUACUGGGCGUAAAGGGAGCGUAGGUGGCUCGAUAAGUCAGAUGUGAAAUCCCCGGGCUCAACCUGGGAACUGCAUCUGAUACUGUUGAGCUAGAGUAUGUGAGAGGAAGGUAGAAUUCCAGGUGUAGCGGUGAAAUGCGUAGAGAUCUGGAGGAAUACCGAUGGCGAAGGCAGCCUUCUGGCAUAAUACUGACACUUUGGCUCGAAAGCGUGGGUAGCAAACAGGAUUAGAUACCCUGGUAGUCCACGCCGUAAACGAUGUCUACUAGUCGUUGGGUCCCUUGAGGACUU